Molecule: non-coding RNA, 72 nt
Organism: Phrynosoma platyrhinos (Desert horned lizard)
Lineage: Eukaryota; Metazoa; Chordata; Lepidosauria; Squamata; Phrynosomatidae
Source: the annotation of a GenBank genome assembly
GCCACUGUGGUAUAGUGGUUUGAGCACUGGACUAUGACUCUUGAGACCAGGGUUCGAAUUCCGACUCAGGUG